This 1171-nucleotide ribosomal RNA is filed under the name Enterococcus faecium. RNAcentral's name for it is "bacterial SSU rRNA". It matches the Rfam family "Bacterial small subunit ribosomal RNA", at positions 240 to 1457 of the family's 1533-position model. The record is from RNAcentral. Lineage: Bacteria; Bacillati; Bacillota; Bacilli; Lactobacillales; Enterococcaceae.
AUUAGCUAGUGUGAGUUAACGGUCACCACUCAAGUGCAAGCGACUGAAGUGAUCGGUCACAUGGACUGAGACCGCCACUCUACGGAGCAGCAGUAGAUCUCGCCAUGACGGAAGUCGACGAGCACGCGCGGGAGGAGAGUUUCGGAUCGUAAACUCGUGUAGAGAAGACAGAUGAGAGUACUGUCAUUCCUGACGUAUCUACCAGAAAGCCACGGCUACUACGUGCCAGCAGCGCGGUAAUACGUAGGUGGCAAGCGUGUCCGGAUUUAUGGGCGUAAAGCGAGCGCAGGCCGGUUCUUAAGUCUGAUGUGAAAGCCCCCGGCUCAACCGGGGAGGGUCAUUGGAAACUGGGAGACUGGAGUGCAGAAGAGGAGAGUGGAAUUCCAUGUGUAGCGGUGAAAUGCGUAGAUAUAUGGAGGAACACCAGUGGCGAAGGCGGCUCUCUGUUCUGUAACUGACGCUGAGGCUCGAAAGCGUGGGGAGCAAACAGGAUUAGAUACCCUGGUAGUCCACGCCGUAAACGAUGAGUGUUAAGUGUUGGAGGGUUUCCGCCCUUCAGUGCUGCAGCUAACGCAUUAAGCAUUCCGCCUGGGGAGUACGACCGCAAGGUUGAAAUUCAAAGGAAUUGACGGGGGCCCGCCCAAGCGGUGGAGCAUGUGGUUUAAUUGGAAGCAACGGGAAGACCCUUACCAGGUCUUGACAUCCUUUGACCACUCUAGAGAUAGAGCUUCCCCUUCGGGGGCAAAGUGACAGGUGGUGCAUGGUUGUCGUCAGCUCGUGUCGUGAGAUGUUGGGUUAAGUCCCGCAACGAGCGCAACCCUUAUUGUUAGUUGCCAUCAUUCAGUUGGCCAUUUUAGCAAGACUGCCGGUGACAAACCGGAGGAAGGUGGGGAGGACGUCAAAUCAUCAUGCCCCUUAUGACCUGGGUUCCACACGUGUUCCAAUGGGAAGUACAACGAGUUGGGAAGUCGGGAGGUUAAGUUAAUUUCUUAAAGCUUUUUUCAGUUCGGAUUCCAGGCUGCAAUUCGCCUGCAGGAAGCCGGAAUCGUUAGUAAUCGCGGAUCACCACGCCGCGGUGAAUACGUUCCCGGCCCUUGUACACACCGCCCGUCACACCACGAGAGUUUGUAACACCGGAAGUCGGUGAGGUAACCUUUUGGAGCCAGCCGCC